Molecule: ribosomal RNA, 440 nt
Filed under: uncultured bacterium
Lineage: Bacteria
Description: partial 16S ribosomal RNA
Rfam family: Bacterial small subunit ribosomal RNA
Source: RNAcentral
CCUACGGGUGGCAGCAGUGGGGAAUAUUGCACAAUGGGGGAAACCCUGAUGCAGCGACGCCGCGUGAGUGAAGCAGUAAUUCGUUAUGUAAAGCUCUAUCAGCAGGGAAGAAAAUGACGGUACCUGAGUCAGAAGCCCCGGCUAACUACGUGCCAGCAGCCGCGGUAAAACGUAGGGGGCAAGCGUUAUCCGGACUUACUGGGUGUAAAGGGAGCGUAGACGGGAUGGCAAGUCUAGAGUGAAAGGCGGGGGCUCAACCCCCGGACUGCUCUGGAAACUGUACGGCUGGAGUGCCGGAGAGGUAAGUGGAAUGCCUAGUGUAGCGGUGAAAUGCGUAGAUAUUAGGAGGAACACCAGUGGCGAAGGCAGCUUACUGGACUGUAACUGACGUUGAGGCUCGAAAGCGUGGGGAGCAAACAGGAUUAGAUACCCUAGUAGUC